AAGGCCUUAGCUUAAUUAAAGCGUUUGCGUUGCAUGCAGUAGAUGUGGGAUAGUACCCCGCAGGUCUUA
Molecule: transfer RNA, 69 nt
Filed under: Forcipiger flavissimus
Lineage: Eukaryota; Metazoa; Chordata; Actinopteri; Chaetodontiformes; Chaetodontidae
Description: tRNA-Ala
Rfam family: tRNA
About the family: Transfer RNA (tRNA) molecules are approximately 80 nucleotides in length. Their secondary structure includes four short double-helical elements and three loops (D, anti-codon, and T loops).
Source: RNAcentral